AGCGGAUGAAGGGAGCUUGCUCCCUGAUUCAGCGGCGGACGGGUGAGUAAUGCCUAGGAAUCUGCCUGGUAGUGGGGGACAACGUCUCGAAAGGGACGCUAAUACCGCAUACGUCCUACGCGAGAUAGUGGGGGCUCUUCGGACCUCACGCUAUCAGAUGAGCCUAGGUCGGAUUAGCUAGUUGGUGAGGUAAUGGCUCACCAAGGCGACGAUCCGUAACUGGUCUGAGAGGAUGAUCAGUCACACUGGAACUGAGACACGGUCCAGACUCCUACGGGAGGCAGCAGUGGGGAAUAUUGGACAAUGGGCGAAAGCCUGAUCCACCCAUGCCGCGUGUGUGAAGAAGGUCUUCGGAUUGUAAAGCACUUUAAGUUGGGAGGAAGGGCAUCAACCUAAUACGUUAGUGUUUUGACGUUACCGACAGAAUAAGCACCGGCUAACUCUGUGCCAGCAGCCG
This 457-nucleotide ribosomal RNA is filed under the name Pseudomonas graminis. RNAcentral describes it as "bacterial SSU rRNA". It matches the Rfam family "Bacterial small subunit ribosomal RNA", at positions 65 to 517 of the family's 1533-position model. Lineage: Bacteria; Pseudomonadati; Pseudomonadota; Gammaproteobacteria; Pseudomonadales; Pseudomonadaceae. The record is from RNAcentral.